RNAcentral lists this ribosomal RNA (484 nucleotides) under uncultured bacterium. RNAcentral's name for it is "partial 16S ribosomal RNA". It matches the Rfam family "Bacterial small subunit ribosomal RNA", at positions 30 to 507 of the family's 1533-position model. The record is from RNAcentral.
AUUGAACGCUGGCGGCAGGCCUAACACAUGCAAGUCGAGCGGAUGAAGGGAGCUUGCUCCUGGAUUCAGCGGCGGACGGGUGAGUAAUGCCUAGGAAUCUGCCUGGUAGUGGGGGAUAACGUCCGGAAACGGGCGCUAAUACCGCAUACGUCAUGAGGGUGAAAGGGGGGGAUCUUUGGACCUCAAGCUAUCAGAUGAGACUAGGUCGGAUUAGCUAGUUGGUGGGGUAACGGCCUACCAAGGCGACGAUCCGUAACUGGUCUGAGAGGAUGAUCGGUCACACUGGAACUGAGACACGGUCCAGACUCCUACGGGAGGCAGCAGUGGGGAAUAUUGGACAAUGGGCGAAAGCCUGAUCCAGCCAUGCCGCGUGUGUGAAGAAGGUCUUCGGAUUGUAAAGCACUUUAAGUUGGGAGGAAGAGCAGUAAGUUAAUACCUUGCUGUUUUGACGUUACCAACAGAAUAAGCACCGGCUAACUACGUG